Small nucleolar RNA from Ornithorhynchus anatinus (platypus), 138 nucleotides. Lineage: Eukaryota; Metazoa; Chordata; Mammalia; Monotremata; Ornithorhynchidae. The record is from RefSeq and is a predicted model, not a curated record.
CUCCUCUCAGGGUGGCACCUGGAGAGAUUCCAGUACUCUACCAGUCUCAGAUGUGGGAGGGACAGUCAAGCAGAGGCCUAUCCUUUCCAUUCCUAGCUUGGGCAGUGGCUAGCGAGCGGAAGGCAGUCCGCUACAAGU